Molecule: long non-coding RNA, 766 nt
Filed under: Androctonus crassicauda
Lineage: Eukaryota; Metazoa; Arthropoda; Arachnida; Scorpiones; Buthidae
Source: RNAcentral
AAAGUUGUAGUUUUAAUCUGUAAUUUAAACAACAAAAAUUAAAUUUAUUAUUGAAUACUUAUCGCUAUCUAUAAUUGAUUUAAUUUGAGCUGAAAUAUUUCUUAAAUAGUAUUGAAAACUAUUUAUUUAAAAAGUUGUGCGAUUAAACUUAGCAAACAUCUUAACAAAUUCAAAGUCAAUGUCAAAUUACUGUACUAGUAUUUGAAAAAUAGAACAGAUAAUUAUCCUUGAAAAUUUAAAUGAUCAACAGGUAUCAGUGGACAUCCCUAAAGUCUGUUUAUUUGGUUUUAUUGGUGGAUCGAAUUGGAUCGGACUACUGUAUAUAUCAAUUAUUUCCAGUGUGUUUAAUUAAUUACUAUUUUGUUAUCUAUUUUGAAUUGUUCUCUGUAUGGACUUCUUGAAUGCAGCCAUUUAGUCGGCCAGAUUGGCCACAUGGAAACGUUCAGCUUUCCACUCUGGAGGACCCAGGUUCGAGUCUUAGGUCCCAUCCCUUGAAAAUAUUUAUCAUGGGGUCCGGGCCCAGCCCAUCGAUCCCUACCCUCCACAAUCCGGCUGACCCCUCCACACGGGUGGGCAGCCUGAGGAAGGGCUUGUUUCACCCCGCCACUUAGUAUUCUUCGUGAAUGGAAAGUGGCGUCAUCUGUUGACAAAAAAAUGUUCAAGUGGAUUUAAUUCAACUAGCAGUGCAUAUACUGUAUGUAAAUUCCAUAAGAACUUUUAUAAAAAAUAUUAUUAGAUAAACCGUUUCUUGCGUUUAAUUACUGAU